GAUGAAGAACGUAGCAAAAUGCGAUACUUGGUGUGAAUUGCAGAAUCCCGUGAACCAUCGAGUUUUUGAACGCAAGUUGCGCCCGAAGCCUUUUGGCCGAGGGCACGUCUGCCUGGGCAUCACGCAUCGCGUCGCCCCCCACAAAUUCUCCUCAGGGGAGCUUGUGUUUCGGGGGCGGAUACUGGUCUCCCGUGCUCAUGGCGCGGUUGGCCGAAAUAGGAGUCCCUUCGAUGGACGCACGAACUAGUGGUGGUCGUAAAAACCCUCGUCUUUUGUUUCGUGCCGUUAGUCGCGAGGGAAGCUCUUCAAAAACCCCAGCGCGUCGUCUCUUGACGGCGCUUCGACCGCGACCCCAGGUCAGGCGGGACUACCCGCUGAGUUUAAGCAUAUCAAUAAGCGGAGGGA
Molecule: unclassified non-coding RNA, 405 nt
Filed under: soil metagenome
Description: partial contains 5.8S ribosomal RNA, internal transcribed spacer 2, and large subunit ribosomal RNA
Rfam family: 5.8S ribosomal RNA (bases 1-122)
Source: RNAcentral